AUCUCUUUUCCUUCUAGUAGCAUCUAAUCUCUCUUCCAUCUAGUAGCAUCUAAUUUUCCUUCCUUCUAGUAGCAUCUAAUCUCUUUUCCUUCUAGCAGCAUCUAAUCUCUCUUCCUUCUAGUAGCAUCUAAUUUGCAUUACUUCUAGCAGCAUCUAAUCUUCCUUCCUUCUAGUUGAAUCUAAUCUCUCUUCUUUCCAUUAGCAUCUAAUCUCUCUUCCUUCUAGCCGCAUCUAAUCUCUCUUCAUUCUAGUAGCAUCUAAUUUUCCUUCCUUCUAGCAGCAUCUAAUCUCUUUUCCAUCUAGCCGAAUCUAAUCUCUCUUCCUUCUAGCAGCAUCUAAUCUUUUUUCCAUCUAGCCGAAUCUAAUCUCUCUUCCUUCUAGGCGAAUCUAAUCUCUCUUCCUUCUAGCAGCAUCUAAUCUCUUUUCCAUCUAGCCGAAUCUAAUCUCUCUUCCUUUUAGCAGCAUCUAAUAUUCAUGCCCUCUAGUAAAGUAUCUAGUAAAGUAUCUAGUAAAGUAUCUAGUAAAGUAUCUAGUUAAGUAUCUAGUAAAGUAUCUAGUAAAGUAUCUAGUAAAGUAUCUAGUAAAGUAUCUAUCAAAUCUCCCACUGAUCUAAUAGCAUCUAACUCCCUUCCUGGUUUAGACAUUGAUAGCUGAGUGGAACGAACUGUACCUGGAUUAUAGAUACGUGUUCGAGAAACGGAUAUAGAGUAUAGGGCAUUUACUACAUUCCUUCUAAGGAGCAUCUUCCUAACUUCUUGUAGCAUCUAAUCUCCUUAUCAUCUAGUAGUAUCUAAUCUCCCUUCCUUCAAGUAGCAUCUAUUCUACCUUUUUUUCAAGUAGCAUAUGAUCUUCCUCCCUUCUAGUAGCAUCUAAUUUCCCUUCCUUCAAGUAGCAUCUAAUCUCCUUCCUUCAAGUAACAUCCAAUCUACCUUCCUUCAAGUAUCAUAUAAUCUUCAGCUCUUCUAGUAGCAUCUAAUCUUCCUACCAUCUAUUAGCAUCUAAUAUCCCUUCCUUCUGGCUAAUAGCAUCUAAUCUUUCCUCCUUUUUAAUCCCUUCAUUUCUAGUAGCAUAUAAUCUCCCUUACUUUAGUAGCUCCUAAUCUUACCCUUCUGGUAGCAUCUAAUCUCCCUCCCUUCUAGUAGCAUCUAAUCUCACUCCUUCUAGUGGCAUAAUCUCCCUUCCUUCUAGUAGUUUCUAAUCUCCCUUCCUUCAAGUAGCAUCUAAUCUCAUUUCCUUCUAUUGGUAUCUAAUCUUCCAUUCCGUCUAGUAGCAUCUUAUCUUCCCCUUCUAGUAGCAUCUAAUCUCCCUUCCCUCAAGUAGCAUCUAAUCUCCCCCUUUCAAGUAGAAUAUAAUCUCACUCGUUUCUAGUAGCAUCUAAUCACCCUUCCUUCUUGUAACAUCUAAUCUCCCUUCUGUCUAGUAGCAUUUAAUCCCCCCUUUUAAUAGCAUCUAAUCUGGUUUGAGGUUUAAUAUUAUGUUGAGUCGUUUAAUAGUUUUUUCUAAUUCCAUGGGGCGGUUUUACGUUUUCCUAUUCUAAGGCCGAUUUGAAGUUUUUCUAAUCUCAAGCCGAUUUGACAUUUCCUACUCUUAAGCUGAUUUGACGUUUAACAAAUCUCAAGCGGUUUAAAACGUUUAAUGCCCCCCCAAAAAACCGGAAAAAUCAGGACGCAAAUGUAAUUCUUAUUAAUUUUUCGUAGGUUUGUGCUAUGUACACCUGUAAACAGAAACCAGCUUCAACUCCUAGCUGCAGCAUGUAUUCUCCUUAGUUCCAAAGUAUGUUCGCAAAGCAGGGGCUGUGUUGUCGGAUGUAAACAGUUAAUAGACUAUUCAGAUAACUGUAUAACUAACAACCAACUCCUGGAUAUGGAACUACUAGUAGUAUCCUCCCUGUGUUGGGAUCUAUACCUAGAGCCUGCUGCAGAAGAUGCCUGCAACCUUAUCACUGAUCUUCAGGUAUCUAGUUGACUAGUUUAUCAGUUGAUCAGUUGAUCAGUUGAUCAGUUGACCAGUUGACCACUGCCUUCCGAUUUACGGCCUGAUAACCUCAUCAAGUGACCAUCAAACUUUAUAAUUUAGACCAAAAUGUUGUCACCAAAAAGAAAAGAUUGCAUUUAAUAAUUAAAAUUCACUAACAUUCCUAAAAUAUAAAAAUUCCGCCUCAAAUUAUUUUACGUUAAUUUAGUGAUUUUAGCCAAAUUUUCAUGUUUUAGGAACAAUUUUGAAACAAGUGUUUGUAUAUAUGAAAAUGAAGACGACAUAUUUUCGUCUAAAUUGUCCAUGUAUCCUCUAAUAUUGUUGUGAUUUCCUUGAUUAAUCAUUAAAUUUACACGAGAAUAGAGUACAAACAUGGAAGAAUGUUAUCUUAAGAUAAAUGUUUACUUAUGUAAAAAUAACAUUUUCCCAGUUUUGUAAAGGACUAUUCUCACAUCUUUACCAAAUUGUAUAUUUUUUAGCAUUUAUAUUCAUUUAAGAAUAAAUUUACAAUUUAUACUAUGUAGUUGAAUUUGUAAUAAAAUAUGUUUGAUCGUUGUAAUACUUUAGUGUGCAGUAAAACCCGAAAUUUCGGAGACAUCGAAAGAAUUAUAAAAUGUCGUCUUGACAAUCUUCAAUGGGUUUUAUACAGAGCGUCCCAUAUCAUAUUAGAUUAUCUCCAAGCUUUAACGCCAAAACAACACAUAAAACUAGAAAAGCUUAGAAUGUCCAGCAAGAAUAUUUUUAUAUUAGCCUAAUUAAAUUUUUCAAAAUGAUUUAAUCUUCUUAAAUUUUCUGAUUAGUCCUGAA
Long non-coding RNA from Eurytemora carolleeae, 2781 nucleotides. RefSeq lists it as uncharacterized. The record is from RefSeq and is a predicted model, not a curated record. NCBI's taxonomy places the organism in Eukaryota, Metazoa, Arthropoda, Copepoda, Calanoida, Temoridae. The transcript is spliced from 4 exons.